AUUGAACGCUGGCGGCAGGCCUAACACAUGCAAGUCGAGCGGAUGAAGGGAGCUUGCUCCUGGAUUCAGCGGCGGACGGGUGAGUAAUGCCUAGGAAUCUGCCUGGUAGUGGGGAUAACGUCCGGAAACGGGCGCUAAUACCGCAUACGUCCUGAGGGAGAAAGUGGGGGAUCUUCGGACCUCACGCUAUCAGAUGAGCCUAGGUCGGAUUAGCUAGUUGGUGGGGUAAAGGCCUACCAAGGCGACGAUCCGUAACUGGUCUGAGAGGAUGAUCAGUCACACUGGAACUGAGAGACGGUCCAGACUCCUACGGGAGGCAGCAGGGGGGAAUAUUGGACAAUGGGCGAAAGCCUGAUCCAGCCAUGCCGCGUGUGUGAAGAAGGUCUUCGGAUUGUAAAGCACUUUAAGUUGGGAGGAAGGGCAGUAAGUUAAUACCUUGCUGUUUUGACGUUACCAACAGAAUAAGCACCGGCUAACUUCGUG
This 483-nucleotide ribosomal RNA is filed under the name uncultured bacterium. Its description in RNAcentral is "partial 16S ribosomal RNA". It matches the Rfam family "Bacterial small subunit ribosomal RNA", at positions 30 to 507 of the family's 1533-position model. The record is from RNAcentral.